RNAcentral lists this long non-coding RNA (582 nucleotides) under Phascolarctos cinereus (koala). RNAcentral's name for it is "lncRNA (ENSPCIG00000034024.1)". The record is from RNAcentral. Lineage: Eukaryota; Metazoa; Chordata; Mammalia; Diprotodontia; Phascolarctidae.
GCUGGCACUUUCAGUCCUCUACCUGGUCAGACUGGCUGCUUCCCCUGUGCAAGUUCCUCCUUCUCCCCACCAGGUGCCUCUCACUGCACAUGCCAGGGCCUGAACCGGGCUUUCCAGAAGUCUGAUGGCUCCUGCAUCUGCUUGGCUGGACAUGUAUCUUAUGACGAGAGAGGCCAGGAGAGCCACGACAGCAACAGCAACCAAGAUUGUCAGCCUCAGGUUGAAGAGAGAUGCUCAACAGGGGACAUCCGUCUAUCUGCCACCCGCAAGUGUGUGUCCCCCAUACAGCAUAAUUGUUCCUCCUUCUGCCACCCCGCAGGUGGGGAACUCAGUGCAGAACUGGGCAUCUGCCAGUGCCAAGAAUAUGUCUCUGCUGAAGAGCUCUGUGACACCCUGUGUCUUGCCAGGGCCCCUCAACUGUCUCUGAAGUGGGGCUCCAACAGGGAACUGUUCCUCACUGUUCAGGACCAGAAUGGAGGGAGGACUCAUAGGGUAAGAAGAUCCAGAACAAGGAAGGGCAGUAGGUGGGUGAGAUAGGAAGUUGCUAUAAGGUAAGAGGAGAGAAGAGCCAUUUGCCUCACG